This 431-nucleotide ribosomal RNA is filed under the name uncultured Elusimicrobium sp. Its description in RNAcentral is "bacterial SSU rRNA". It matches the Rfam family "Bacterial small subunit ribosomal RNA", at positions 958 to 1385 of the family's 1533-position model. Lineage: Bacteria; Pseudomonadati; Elusimicrobiota; Elusimicrobia; Elusimicrobiales; Elusimicrobiaceae. The record is from RNAcentral.
AACGCGAAGAACCUUACCUGGGCUUGAACUACUGGUAGUAAGUCUUUGGAAACAUGGACUGAUCCGCAAGGAAGCCAGCAGAGGUGCUGCAUGGUUGUCGUCAGCUCGUGUCGUGAGAUGUUGGGUUAAGUCCCGCAACGAGCGCAACCCCUAUCUCAUGUUGCUAAUCCCGCAAGGGAUGCACUUUUGAGAAACUGCCUUCGAUAAGAAGGAGGAAGGUGGGGACGACGUCAAAUCCUCAUGGCCCUUAUGUCCAGGGCUACACACGUGCUACAAUGGCCGGUACAACGGGAAGCAAUACCGCAAGGUGGAGCAAAACCCUGAAAGCCGGCCCCAGUUCAGAUCGUGGGCUGAAACUCGCCCACGUGAAGGCGGAAUCGCUAGUAAUCGCGAAUCAGCAGGUCGCGGUGAAUACGUUCCCGGGCCUUGUA